This 467-nucleotide ribosomal RNA is filed under the name uncultured bacterium. RNAcentral describes it as "partial 16S ribosomal RNA". It matches the Rfam family "Bacterial small subunit ribosomal RNA", at positions 29 to 507 of the family's 1533-position model. The record is from RNAcentral.
ACGAACGCUGGCUGCGUGCUUAACACAUGCCAGUCGAACGGAAAGGCCCUGCUUUUGUGGGGUGCUCGAGUGGCGAACGGGUGAGUAACACGUGAGUAACCUGCCCUUGACUUUGGGAUAACUUCAGGAAACUGGGGCUAAUACCGGAUAGGAGCUCCUGCUGCAUGGUGGGGGUUGGAAAGUUUCGGCGGUUGGGGAUGGACUCGCGGCUUAUCAGCUUGUUGGUGGGGUAGUGGCUUACCAAGGCUUUGACGGGUAGCCGGCCUGAGAGGGUGACCGGCCACAUUGGGACUGAGAUACGGCCCAGACUCCUACGGGAGGCAGCAGUGGGGAAUAUUGCACAAUGGGCGGAAGCCUGAUGCAGCAACGCCGCGUGCGGGAUGACGGCCUUCGGGUUGUAAACCGCUUUCGCCUGUGACGAAGCGUGAGUGACGGUAAUGGGUAAAGAAGCACCGGCUAACUACGUG